Molecule: ribosomal RNA, 478 nt
Filed under: uncultured bacterium
Lineage: Bacteria
Description: partial 16S ribosomal RNA
Rfam family: Bacterial small subunit ribosomal RNA
Source: RNAcentral
GACGAACGCUGGCGGCGUGCUUAACACAUGCAAGUCGAACGGUAAGGCCCUUCGGGGUACACGAGUGGCGAACGGGUGAGUAACACGUGGGUGAUCUGCCCUGCACUUCGGGAUAAGCCUGGGAAACUGGGUCCAAUACCGGAUAGGACCACUGCCUGCAUGGGGGGUGGUGGAAAGCUUUUGCGGUGUGGGAUGGGCCCGCGGCCUAUCAGCUUGUUGGUGGGGUGAUGGCCUACCAAGGCGACGACGGGUAGCCGGCCUGAGAGGGUGACCGGCCACACUGGGACUGAGAUACGGCCCUGACUCCUACGGGAGGCAGCAGUGGGGAAUAUUGCACAAUGGGCGCAAGCCUGAUGCAGCGACGCCGCGUGAGGGAUGAUGGCCUUCGGGUCGUAAACCCCUUUCAGCACCGACGAAGCGCAAGUGACGGUAGGUGCAGAAGAAGGACCGGCCAACUACGUGCCAGCAGCCGCAGUAA